Molecule: long non-coding RNA, 630 nt
Organism: Spinacia oleracea (spinach)
Lineage: Eukaryota; Viridiplantae; Streptophyta; Magnoliopsida; Caryophyllales; Amaranthaceae
Exons: 4
Source: RefSeq, a predicted model, not a curated record
AUGUGUUCUUAUGGUUGCGCCACAUUUUGGGGAGAAUAUGGUUGUGAUUUUUUCUAUGGAUGGUACCGACGGUCUUGUUCGUGGUCAACCAUUUUAAACAUUGGAUCUUCUAUUACUGAACCCCGUCAACAUAUGAAUUUUGGACAUAACAAAAAAUUGCAUUCUUGUGGAUGGAUCGAAGAGGGAUGGACUUCAUAAUUCUCGUUGAGUGAUGUAAGACUUGUGGCCUAAUUUGAGCAUGUAAAUUACAGUAAUAUAUGCUAGCAAAAUGGGAAAAAAGGAGGUUGGUUUCAGCAAUUAAGAGGAUCUUUGCAGAUAGCUCCAAGGAGAAAGUGGCUUAUGAUGUCAUGUUGAAUCACAUGGGGAACAUAGUUGGAGGCGAACAUAUGCUUUUGCCCGCAUUGGGAAGUUCAGAUUCAGAAACCACCCAAACAGAGUUGGAGGCCAACAUAUGAUUUUGCCCGCAUUGCUAAUAAUUAUUAUUCUCAAUUGUUUAAUCUUGUCACAAUUAUGUACACUUUUGAGCUUUAUUUUAUUUUAUAUUUUUGGAGAUUACAAUUGAUGUAAAUGUGAAUUUUUUUUUUGUAAUUUUACGAAUUAUUUGGAAUUACCAAAUUGGUUAAAUGCUGA